Musa acuminata AAA Group (dessert banana) is the source of this 2215-nucleotide RNA transcript. RefSeq lists it as uncharacterized. The record is from RefSeq and is a predicted model, not a curated record. The transcript has 5 exons. Lineage: Eukaryota; Viridiplantae; Streptophyta; Magnoliopsida; Zingiberales; Musaceae.
CCUCGCCUCCCGAGCCACAUCGUCCCGAUCGCCACCGCCGGAGAACCCAAGAAUUGCCCGUGAGGUCGGGCUUGCCGCCGAACCUUCGUGGCGACGCUAUUCACCUGGUAGAGAUCGGAAGCCAUUCAUUGUUUGAUCCCUUAUCUGAUGGCAAACGAGUGUAAAGGAAUCUAGCGAUCGUGUCAUCUUUUGGUUCGGACCUGAGCGGUCGUCUUCCUCGAUGAGUCCUCGUUCGUGAUCUUGGUCGUUUUUCUUCCGACUCGUAGACGCUUCUUUCCGGUGCCUGAUCUUGUCAUCGAUCUCCGAUUCAGCCGAUUUGGUGUUCGGGGUGUUGCAGUGUCACUAAUUUCCGGGCUUGAAUCAAGGAAGAGAAGUGGUGGUUUGGAUUUUGGUGUAACCAUGCCGUUUCCGACGAAGAUCCAGCCGAUCGACGUGAGAGGGUUAGUGCGGAGCGAUCAGGCAAAACCCGUGCCCAAAUCACGGCUGAAGCGGCUUUUCGAGCGACAAUUCCCCGGCGUCCUGCGAAUCUCGUCAGUGGAACGGCUGGAUCUGGAGCCGAGCUCCGUCUGCCUCGACAAGAUGAUCCGCAGCUUCAUGGAGGACAACAACGGGGAGAAGCCCUCUUCCCGAUGUGGUCACAGCCGCUGUAACUGCUUUCACGGCCACUGUGACGACAGCUCCGACGACGACCUCGACUUUAUCUCCUCCUCCAACAGCGGCGACGCUCCGAUCGUCUCCGCCGCCGAAGUCAUCAAGGGUUUGGUGGUUUGCACGACCGUCUCGGAGAGGAAUCUCCUUGCCGAUGCGUCCACCGUCGUGGAGAGGAGCAAGAAUUUCAAGAGAAAGAACGAGCAUAUGAAGGCCGUCACCGAUGGACUCCGAUCGCUCGGCUACGACGCCUCCCUGUGCAAGUCGCGGUGGGAGAAGACCGCCUCCAUCCCGGCCGGCGAACAUGAGUACAUCGACGUCAUCAUCGUCGGCGAGCGGCUGCUGGUGGACGUGGACUUCAGGUCGGAGUUCCAGAUCGCGCGGUCGACGAAGAGCUACGCCGCCGUGCUCCAGUCCCUGCCGUCCGUCUUCGUCGGGAAGGAAGACCGAGUCAGCCAGAUCGUCGCAGUGGUCUCGGAGGCUGCACGGCUGAGCCUGAAAAAGAAGGGCCUCUACUUCCCUCCGUGGCGGAAGCCGGAGUACAUCCGCUCCAAAUGGCUCGCUCCCUACGAGCGAUCGACUACCCCGGCGGACCAUGAGCAAGCAGCGGAAGCAGUGGAAGAGACUCGCGCGUCGGAAGAGAAGGCCAAGACCGAGAACCCACGCGGCGACGCUUCAACGACUGACGAACCCGGCGAAGCAGAGGGGAAGAGCGCGGUGGUGACGGACCCCACGCAACCAACGGAGGCAGUAAAAGAGACUGGCGCAUCGGAAGAGAAAGCCCAGACCGAGAACUCGAGCGGCGGCGCCUUCCCAUCGACCGACGAACCCGUAGAGGCAGCAGAGGGGAAGAGCACGGUGGCGGUGGCGUCGGCGCCACCGACGUGGGAGCUGCCGGAAGUGAAGCCCAGGACGCCGCACAAGGGAGCGAAGCUCCUGGAACGGAUCGCAAAGCUUCUCUGCCGGCGUCGGUCCCUGCAAGCGAAACAUCGAGCAACAGGAGGGCGAUACGCUACCAAAAAUAAAAGGUUAUGCUCCUUACGCUCCUCUUUUAUAAGCGAAUGCUAUUCUCCCGAUAUGAUCGGUUUCUUCUUUUUUAUGCUCUUAUCCGCUACAUGCUUUCAAACACAAGUUGGACGGGGCGACGGGGGAUGACGACGGCAUGCUCGUGUUCGGCGUGAUUGAGACGACGGACCCACAGGAGCCGCGUGAGGUCCACAGGAGUGGUCCAAAAGAACCAGCCUGUGGCCUCUGUCAAGUCAAUGUUCCUCCAUCAAGUUGGGUGUCAAGUUGAAGAGGAGAGACAUAAAAGAAAAGGUAUGUGUCCUUCUCAGAACUCCAGAAUUUCUACCAUCUGUGCCUUCCAUAUUGAUGUAUGAGAAAAGGUGGGUUGCAGUAUCAUUAUCAGCUAAUCAGGCAUGAGACAAAACUGGUCUGACUAGAUCUGAUUGGAUGGUCAAAUAUAAUAAUCCUGAAUCAAAAACAAUUCCAUCAAGUGGAAACUUAAAUUGCCUGCCAUACAUCAAUCUGGUGGAACAAAGAAGAUUUCAAGAUCAUGAUGUAGAAU